This 47-nucleotide ribosomal RNA is filed under the name Dimorphospora foliicola. RNAcentral's name for it is "partial 28S ribosomal RNA". The record is from RNAcentral. Lineage: Eukaryota; Fungi; Ascomycota; Leotiomycetes; Helotiales; Helotiaceae.
UCCUCGGAUCAGGUAGGGAUACCCGCUGAACUUAAGCAUAUCAAUAA